GGAAUUAAAAGUCGUAACAAGGUUUCCGUAGGUGAACCUGCGGAAGGAUCAUUAGUGAAAUAACCUGGGACUUUAAGUCUCGGACCUUCUCACAUCCAUACACCUUUGUGCACUGUUGGACAGACCGUUGAAUAUUUUUUUCAAGGUUUGUCCUAUAAUUUAAUAAACAUUUUUAUAAGUAAGGAAAGUAUCAUUCAAUGCUCUGGUAGCGCUGAAAUAAAAUAAUAAAAAACAAAACUUUCAACAACGGAUCUCUUGGCUCUC
This 264-nucleotide unclassified non-coding RNA is filed under the name plant metagenome. RNAcentral describes it as "partial contains small subunit ribosomal RNA, internal transcribed spacer 1, and 5.8S ribosomal RNA". The stretch from base 1 to 54 matches the Rfam family "Eukaryotic small subunit ribosomal RNA", at positions 1778 to 1831 of the family's 1831-position model. The record is from RNAcentral.